Molecule: non-coding RNA, 145 nt
Organism: Caenorhabditis elegans
Lineage: Eukaryota; Metazoa; Nematoda; Chromadorea; Rhabditida; Rhabditidae
Source: Ensembl
AAGUGGCACUACUAUCAAGUUACAUUCAUCAUCGAAUCGAAAAGAAAAGGGACUCUAAAAGCUGGUGGAGGGUCUGGUGGUAGCUCUCAGAUUUUAUGAGCUCGUGCUGACUGGAGGGCAUCUGUUUUCUUGCUGCGACAUUGAC